GGCUCUGUGGCUCAACUGGAUAGAGCAGCCCCCUCCUAAGGGGCAGGUUGGUGGUUCGAAUCCACCCAGGGCCGCCA
Molecule: transfer RNA, 77 nt
Filed under: Amylibacter sp.
Lineage: Bacteria; Pseudomonadati; Pseudomonadota; Alphaproteobacteria; Rhodobacterales; Paracoccaceae
Description: tRNA-Arg
Rfam family: tRNA
About the family: Transfer RNA (tRNA) molecules are approximately 80 nucleotides in length.
Source: RNAcentral